This 252-nucleotide ribosomal RNA is filed under the name uncultured prokaryote. Its description in RNAcentral is "partial 16S ribosomal RNA". It matches the Rfam family "Bacterial small subunit ribosomal RNA", at positions 523 to 774 of the family's 1533-position model. The record is from RNAcentral.
AUACAGAGGUGGCAAGCGUUGUUCGGAAUUACUGGGCGUAAAGGGCGCGUAGGCGGUCUGAUAAGUCCCGUGUGAAAUCCCUCGGCUCAACUGAGGAAUGGCACGGGAAACUGACGGGCUUGAGUUCGGGAGAGGGAAGCGGAAUUCCGGGUGUAGCGGUGAAAUGCGUAGAUAUCCGGAGGAACACCGGUGGCGAAGGCGGCUUCCUGGACCGACACUGACGCUGAGGCGCGAAAGCUAGGGGAGCAAACG